AUCUGAUACUGGCAAGCUUGAGUCUCGUAGAGGGGGGUAGAAUUCCAGGUGUAGCGGUGAAAUGCGUAGAGAUCUGGAGGAAUACCGGUGGCGAAGGCGGCCCCCUGGACGAAGACUGACGCUCAGGUGCGAAAGCGUGGGGAGCAAACAGGAUUAGAUACCCUGGUAGUCCACGCCGUAAACGAUGUCGACUUGGAGGUUGUGCCCUUGAGGCGUGGCUUCCGGAGCUAACGCGUUAAGUCGACCGCCUGGGGAGUACGGCCGCAAGGUUAAAACUCAAAUGAAUUGACGGGGGCCCGCACAAGCGGUGGAGCAUGUGGUUUAAUUCGAUGCAACGCGAAGAACCUUACCUGGUCUUGACAUCCACGGAAGUUUUCAGAGAUGAGAAUG
RNAcentral lists this ribosomal RNA (390 nucleotides) under Shigella flexneri. RNAcentral's name for it is "bacterial SSU rRNA". It matches the Rfam family "Bacterial small subunit ribosomal RNA", at positions 625 to 1014 of the family's 1533-position model. Lineage: Bacteria; Pseudomonadati; Pseudomonadota; Gammaproteobacteria; Enterobacterales; Enterobacteriaceae. The record is from RNAcentral.